Molecule: ribosomal RNA, 497 nt
Filed under: uncultured bacterium
Lineage: Bacteria
Description: partial 16S ribosomal RNA
Rfam family: Bacterial small subunit ribosomal RNA
Source: RNAcentral
GAUGAACGCUGGCGGCGUGCCUAAUACAUGCAAGUCGAGCGAACGGACGAGAAGCUUGCUUCUCUGAUGUUAGCGGCGGACGGGUGAGUAACACGUGGAUAACCUACCUAUAAGACUGGGAUAACUUCGGGAAACCGGAGCUAAUACCGGAUAAUAUUUUGAACCGCAUGGUUCAAAAGUGAAAGACGGUCUUGCUGUCACUUAUAGAUGGAUCCGCGCUGCAUUAGCUAGUUGGUAAGGUAACGGCUUACCAAGGCAACGAUGCAUAGCCGACCUGAGAGGGUGAUCGGCCACACUGGAACUGAGACACGGUCCAGACUCCUACGAGAGGCAGCAGUAGGGAAUCUUCCGCAAAGGGCGAAAGCCUGACGGAGCAACGCCGCGUGAGUGAUGAAGGUCUUCGGAUCGUAAAACUCUGUUAUUAGGGAAGAACAUAUGUGUAAGUAACUGUGCACAUCUUGACGGUACCUAAUCAGAAAGCCACGGCUAACUACGUG